RNAcentral lists this transfer RNA (71 nucleotides) under Podarcis lilfordi (Lilford's wall lizard). RNAcentral's name for it is "tRNA.Lys". The stretch from base 3 to 62 matches the Rfam family "tRNA", at positions 7 to 64 of the family's 71-position model. Rfam says of the family: Transfer RNA (tRNA) molecules are approximately 80 nucleotides in length. The record is from RNAcentral. Lineage: Eukaryota; Metazoa; Chordata; Lepidosauria; Squamata; Lacertidae.
UCAUAGCUCAGUUGGUGGAGCAUGAGACUUUUAAUCUUGGGGUCAUGGGUUCGAGCCCCACUUGGGCAGAA